AGCAGCCGCGGUAAUUCCAGCUCCAAUAGCGUAUAUUAAAGUUGUUGCAGUUAAAAAGCUCGUAGUUGAAUUUCGGGGUUAGUAGAUUGGUCAUGCCUCUGGUAUGUACUGGUCUCACUGAUUCCUCCUUCCUGAUGAACCUUAAUGCCAUUAAUUUGGUGUUUUGGGGAAUUUGGACUGUUACUUUGAAAAAAUUAGAGUGUUUAAAGCAAGCUAACGCUUGAAUACAUUAGCAUGGAAUAAUGAAAUAGGACGUUCGAUCCUAUUUUGUUGGUUUCUAGGAUUGACGUAAUGAUUAAUAGGGAUAGUUGGGGGCAUUAGUAUUUAAUUGUCAGAGGUGAAAUUCUUGGAUUUAUUGAAGACUAACUACUGCGAAAGCAUUUGCCAAGGAUGUUUUCAUUAAUCAAGAACGAAAGUUAGGGGGUCGAAGACGAUCAGAUACCGUCGUAGUCUUAACCAUAAACUAUGCCGACUAGGGAUCGGAUGAUGUUAAUUUUUUAAUGACUCA
RNAcentral lists this ribosomal RNA (508 nucleotides) under uncultured glomeraceous AM fungus. RNAcentral describes it as "SSU rRNA". It matches the Rfam family "Eukaryotic small subunit ribosomal RNA", at positions 569 to 1078 of the family's 1831-position model. Lineage: Eukaryota; Fungi; Glomeromycota; Glomeromycetes; Glomerales; Glomeraceae. The record is from RNAcentral.